CCUACGGGAGGCUGCAGUGAGGAAUAUUGGUCAAUGGGCGGGAGCCUGAACCAGCCAAGCCGCGUGAGGGAAGAAGGUACAGCGUAUCGUAAACCUCUUUUGUCAGGGAACAAAGGCGGGGACUAGUCCCCGGAUGAGGGUAUCUGAAGAAACAGCAUCGGCUAACUCGGUGCCAGCAGCCGCGGUAAUACGGAGGAUGCGAGCGUUAUCCGGAUUUAUUGGGUUUAACGGGUGAGCAGGGGGCUAGUUAAGUCGACGGUAAAAGCCCGGGGCUCAACCCCGGGGGGCAGUUGAAAAUGGCGGGCUGGAGUUGGGGAGAGGUACGCGGAAUGCGCGGUGUAGCGGUGAAAUGCGUAGAUAUCGCGAGGAACCCCGGUUGCGAAGGCAGCGUACCGGCUCCACACUGACGCUGAGGCACGAAAGCGUGGGUAUCGAACAGGAUUAGAUACCCGAGUAGUC
RNAcentral lists this ribosomal RNA (459 nucleotides) under uncultured bacterium. RNAcentral's name for it is "partial 16S ribosomal RNA". It matches the Rfam family "Bacterial small subunit ribosomal RNA", at positions 338 to 795 of the family's 1533-position model. The record is from RNAcentral.